RNAcentral lists this ribosomal RNA (1535 nucleotides) under Streptomyces sp. PVA_94-07. Lineage: Bacteria; Bacillati; Actinomycetota; Actinomycetes; Kitasatosporales; Streptomycetaceae. The record is from RNAcentral.
GGAUUGCGUCCUGUUGCGCCCAACAGACUGGCACACGUGUGCGGACGCCGGUGCCGGGGUAGGGCGGGGGUCCGUCCCCGGGAGGGUGCGUGCGCGGCCGGGCGGCCGCAUCAGGUCCGGCUAUGGACCACGUCGGCGUGCUGGCAUGAUGCUCGCCACCGGUGGCCCGCCGGCGAACGGACGCGCGGAGGAGAGACUGCCUUGACCACGACCGACACGGACAGGGCAGUGCUGCGUGCCGAGGAGACACCCGAGGAGCCACGGCGGAGCGGGGGCCGGGACGGAGGCCCGGGCGCAGGCGGGGACGUACCGGGGGAGGUGCCGGGGAGGAGCGGGCGGCAGCCGUCGCCCUCCAGGCUGUCGGCCGCCGACAUACUGACCCUGGGCAACGCGGUCUGCGGGUUCUCCUCGGUGUACUUCAUCACCACCGCUGUGCUGGUGCCCUACCUGACGGGCGGUCCGGGCGACGGCACCCUGCGGCAGGGCGCGGCCACCGCCGUCAUGCUGAUCCUGCUGGCCUCCCUCUUCGACCUGUGCGACGGGCUGGUGGCGCGGAAGUUCCGCAGCUCCGGCAUGGGGGCGGAGCUGGACAACCUCUCGGACCUGAUCAGCUUCGGUCUCGCGCCGGCCUACUUCGUCGUGGUCUGGGGGCUCGUCGGCGAGGGCGCCCACCUGUGGAUGACCGUCGUCGGCGCGGUCGCCGUGCUGCUGGCCGGGUUACUGCGGCUGGCCCGUUUCUCCGUCACCACCUCGCGGGACGGCAUGUUCGAGGGCAUGCCGAUCCCCUUCGCGGCGCUCACCGUCGUCUCGGUCGUCCUGCUGGAACUGCCCUUCGCCCUCACCCUCGCGCUGGUGGUCGGCGUCGCCUGGCUCAUGGUGAGCCGGGUCGAGUACCCGAAGCCGACGGGCCGGAUGGCGGUCGCCACGGUCGUCUGGGCCGCCGUCAACAUCGGCUGCCUCGUCGCCUGGGCCGCCGGUGCGCCCGGGGCGGAGCGCCUGCUGGUGACCGGCUGCGCCCUCCAGCUCUCCCUGGCGGCCCUGCUGCCCCUGGUCGCCACGGGCCGCCGCAUCAAGGCCCGGCGCGACCGGCGCGCGGCGUAACGCCCUACGAGGGCAGGAACGCGCCGGAGCCCGGCCACCGGAGGGUGACCGGGCUCCGAGUGCGGAACGGGGGGGCGUCUGUCAGGACUUGCCGGGGUCGGCGCCCUGGCCGGCGUUCUCUUCGUCGUCCUUCUCGGACUUCUUGCCGGUGUCCUUCUCCGACUCCUUGCCCGAGUCGCCGUCCGAGGAGCCCUUGGCGUCGGCGCUGUUGGCCUUGGUGACCGCUGCCACGGCCUCCUUGCCGGCCUUGGUGGCGUCCUCGAUCAGGCCUGCGGUCUUCGGGGAGCUCUGGCCGGCGAGGCCGGCGCCGUUGUAGUCGACGGUCACCACGACGUUCUCGACGCGGGUCACCAGCGACUGCUGCUUGAAGGUGCCUUCCUUCUUCUUCAGCUCGUACGAGACCACCGUCGCGGCGUCGCCCGUGCCGGAGACCG